Molecule: transfer RNA, 93 nt
Filed under: Candidatus Geothermarchaeota archaeon
Lineage: Archaea; Thermoproteati; Candidatus Geothermarchaeota
Description: tRNA-Ile
Rfam family: tRNA
About the family: Transfer RNA (tRNA) molecules are approximately 80 nucleotides in length. Their secondary structure includes four short double-helical elements and three loops (D, anti-codon, and T loops). Further hydrogen bonds mediate the characteristic L-shaped molecular structure. tRNAs have two regions of fundamental functional importance: the anti-codon, which is responsible for specific mRNA codon recognition, and the 3' end, to which the tRNAs corresponding amino acid is attached (by aminoacyl-tRNA synthetases). tRNAs cope with the degeneracy of the genetic code in two manners: having more than one tRNA (with a specific anti-codon) for a particular amino acid; and 'wobble' base-pairing, i.e. permitting non-standard base-pairing at the 3rd anti-codon position.
Source: RNAcentral
GGGCCCGUAGCUCAGAGGCAGAGCGAGGGCAUCCCCCCUCGAGCCCGGCUGAUAACCGGGAGGUCGCCGGUUCGAUCCCGGCCGGGCCCACCA